CGCGCUGACCCGGCCCGCGUGGUUAAUGAAUCACGGUGUGACACAGCCGCCAGGUCGGAUUUGAACCCAGGCCUCCAAGGAAAGUGUGACGUCAGGUGGCCAUGGAUCCCUGCAAGCUAGGUUAUAAAUGGAGCCCCUCCCUAGGCUUGCCUCUUUAUCCUCCCAACCAAUAUAUGGAGCAGGCACUGAAAUAAUCACAUGGCCUAGCCUGGCUGCUCACAGACGGGACAGCCGAGAGCAUUGGUUUCGCGAACAAGUCUUGUCCAACCAUCUCACUACACAGGUGAGUAAACUGAGGCCCAGAGAGAAGCCCGCAAGAGUCUUAAGGUCACGGUGGGGGGCGCUAGAACCCCGGGGAGGGCUCCCCAUGUUCCCAGGUGGAAGAAAACGUGUGUGACUCUUCUGACGGGGGCUCGCCGCCAACCUUGGCAGGAACAGAGGCUCAGAGGUCACCCGAGAGCCCUGGCCGGCAGGAGGGGACAGGCCUGGCUGGUGGCCCAGCAGCUCGGCUG
This is a long non-coding RNA of Mirounga angustirostris (Northern elephant seal), 512 nucleotides long. RefSeq lists it as uncharacterized. The record is from RefSeq and is a predicted model, not a curated record. NCBI's taxonomy places the organism in Eukaryota, Metazoa, Chordata, Mammalia, Carnivora, Phocidae. The transcript is spliced from 3 exons.